AAUGCAGAGCUCACAGAAAGAGGUAAAUUUAUUUAACUCCUUUUGCUGGAAAUUAUGAUUAAUUUUGUUCUUAUGUAGAAUGUCUUUAAUUUGCAUCUGAAUUUCUUGUUCCACACACAUGCAACUGCUCUGACAUGGAUGAGUGCUAGCACACAAAAGCUGUGUUUGGUAGGUGAUUGAGGACGCAUUUGCACAAAAAACGUUGGAUGAGGCACUGCAAUUGUGGUGAUCAACAAGCAAGUUACUGCUCCAUGUAACCAUCCCAUACAAGAUCGUUAUACAAUCGUGGUGAUCAGCAAGCAAGCUACUGCUUCUUUCCGCUCUUGCUAAUUUUGAAUUUUCUUACACCAUAUUAUUUGAUUGUCGGUUCUGCUGCAUUUCAGAUGGCACUCUGUCAACGGCUCCAAACUAAUUCAGAAAAGCAUCUAUGAUCUCUCAAAGUGGUGUGUCUGUCCAGCCGUUACCAAUGGUUGCCGUAGCUGGCUUGUGGUGCUCUACCUCACGUUUGUCAGUGCCCAUGUGAAGAUUCAAGAUGCAAAUGGUUGUGUAUAGUUAGGAUAAUAUCCUGUCAAUGGACCCAGUUUUCCUAUUUCUUAGCAAUAUAUAUACGUAUUUGUUACAAGGGAUGUGUUAUCAAAAUUUUAGCAUCUUGUUUCCAGUUUUGUUUGUA
Panicum virgatum (switchgrass) is the source of this 670-nucleotide long non-coding RNA. RefSeq lists it as uncharacterized. The transcript has 2 exons. The record is from RefSeq and is a predicted model, not a curated record. Lineage: Eukaryota; Viridiplantae; Streptophyta; Magnoliopsida; Poales; Poaceae.